GGGGAAUCUUCCGCAAUGGGCGAAAGCCUGACGGAGCAACGCCGCGUGAGUGAAGACGGCCUUCGGGUUGUAAAGCUCUGUUAUACGGGACGAAAAGUCUUGUGGUUAAUACUCAUGAGAAGUGACGGUACCGUAAGAGAAAGCCACGGCUAACUACGUGCCAGCAGCCGCGGUAAUACGUAGGUGGCAAGCGUUGUCCGGAAUUAUUGGGCGUAAAGGGCGCGCAGGCGGCUUCUUAAGUCUGUCUUAAAAGUGCGGGGCUUAACCCCGUGAUGGGAUGGAAACUGGGAAGCUCAGAGUAUCGGAGAGGAAAGCGGAAUUCCUAGUGUAGCGGUGAAAUGCGUAGAUAUUAGGAGGAACACCAGUGGCGAAAGCGGCUUUCUGGACGAAAACUGACGCUGAGGCGCGAAAGCCAGGGGAGCGAACGGGAUUAGAUACCCCGGUAGUCCUGGCCGUAAACGAUGGGUACUAGGUGUAGGAGGUAUCGACCCCUUCUGUGCCGGAGUUAACGCAAUAAGUACCCCGCCUGGGGAGUACGGCCGCAAGGUUG
This 550-nucleotide ribosomal RNA is filed under the name uncultured bacterium. RNAcentral's name for it is "bacterial SSU rRNA". It matches the Rfam family "Bacterial small subunit ribosomal RNA", at positions 356 to 896 of the family's 1533-position model. The record is from RNAcentral.